GCAUAACGCGAAGAACCUUACCAGGUCUUGACAUGCAGCUGCACAUUCCGUGAAAGCGGAACUUCUUCGAGAGUGCUGCACAGGUGCUGCACGGUCGUCGUCAGCUCGUGCCGUGAGGUGCUAGCUUAAGUGCUAAAACGAGCGCAACCCUUAUCGUUUGUUACAAGUGUCAAACGAAACUGCCCCGGUUUAACGGGGAGGAAGGUGGGGAUGACGUCAGAUCAGCGUGGCUCUUACGACCUGGGCGACACACGUGCUACAAUGGGUAGGAACAAUGGGACGCCAAACCGUAAGGUGGAGCAAAUCCCAGCAAAGCUAUCCUCAGUUCGGAUUGAGGGCUGCAACUCGCCCUCAUGAAGCUGGAAUCGCUAGUAACCGCAAAUCAGCCUCGUUGCGGUGAAUACGUUCUCGGGUCUUGUACACACCG
This 427-nucleotide ribosomal RNA is filed under the name uncultured bacterium. Its description in RNAcentral is "bacterial SSU rRNA". It matches the Rfam family "Bacterial small subunit ribosomal RNA", at positions 954 to 1392 of the family's 1533-position model. The record is from RNAcentral.